Molecule: ribosomal RNA, 524 nt
Filed under: uncultured Burkholderia sp.
Lineage: Bacteria; Pseudomonadati; Pseudomonadota; Betaproteobacteria; Burkholderiales; Burkholderiaceae
Description: bacterial SSU rRNA
Rfam family: Bacterial small subunit ribosomal RNA
Source: RNAcentral
UAGAGUUUGAUCCUGGCUCAGAUUGAACGCUGGCGGCAUGCCUUACACAUGCAAGUCGAACGGCAGCACGGGGGCAACCCUGGUGGCGAGUGGCGAACGGGUGAGUAAUACAUCGGAACGUGUCCUGGAGUGGGGGAUAGCCCGGCGAAAGCCGGAUUAAUACCGCAUACGCUCUGCGGAGGAAAGCGGGGGAUCUUCGGACCUCGCGCUCAAGGGGCGGCCGAUGGCAGAUUAGCUAGUUGGUGGGGUAAAGGCCUACCAAGGCGACGAUCUGUAGCUGGUCUGAGAGGACGACCAGCCMCMCUGGGACUGAGACACGGCCCAGACUCCUACGGGAGGCAGCAGUGGGGAAUUUUGGACAAUGGGGGCAMCCCUGAUCCAGCAAUGCCGCGUGUGUGAAGAAGGCCUUCGGGUUGUAAAGCACUUUUGUCCGGAAAGAAAUCGCGCCUGCUAAUACCGGGUGUGGAUGACGGUACCGGAAGAAUAAGCACCGGCUAACUACGUGCCAGCAGCCGCGGUAAUAC